This 256-nucleotide ribosomal RNA is filed under the name uncultured bacterium. RNAcentral describes it as "partial 16S ribosomal RNA". It matches the Rfam family "Bacterial small subunit ribosomal RNA", at positions 521 to 776 of the family's 1533-position model. The record is from RNAcentral.
UAAUACGUAGGUGGCGAGCGUUAUCCGGAUUCACUGGGCGUAAAGCGCUUGUAGGUGGUUCUGUAAGUUGGGUGUGAAAUCUUCGGGCUUAACUCGGAGUGGCCGCUCAAUACUGCAGGACUUGAGGAUGUCAGAGGGAGAUGGAAUUCCUGGUGUAGUGGUGAAAUGCGUAGAUAUCAGGAGGAACACCCGUGGCGAAGGCGGUCUCCUGGGGCAUUCCUGACACUGAGAAGCGACAGCUAGGGGAGCGAACGGG